GUCGGCGCAGGAUUGUGACUCAACCACGGAACAAACACUGUGAACGUUGAUCAUACAAAGAAUGGCGCUGAAUAAAUCAAUGCAUCCUCGAAACCGUUAUAAGGAUAAACCGCCAGAUUUUGUGUAUCUGGCUUCCAAAUAUCCAGAAUUUCAGAAACACGUGCAGACCACACUGACCGGCAGAGUGACACUGAACUUCAAGGACCCGGAGGCUGUUCGGGCUCUUACGUGCACCCUGCUGAAAGAGGACUUUGGCCUCACCAUUGAGAUCCCCCUGGAACGGCUCAUCCCCACCGUCCCACUCCGCCUUAACUACAUCCACUGGGUGGAGGACCUGAUCGGGGGGCAGGGGAACCCACGGAGGGGCAUCGACAUUGGUACUGGGGCCUCCUGUAUUUACCCCCUGCUGGGAGCCUCCAUGAAUGGCUGGUUCUUCCUCGCCACAGAAGUGGAUGACAUCUGCUUUAAUUAUGCAAAGAAAAAUGUUGAGCAAAACCACCUGGCAGAGCUCAUUAAAGUGGUGAAAGUGCCCCAGAAGACUCUACUGAUGGAUGCACUGAAAGACGAGUCCAUUGUCUAUGAUUUCUGCAUGUGCAAUCCUCCUUUCUUUGCCAACCAGUUAGAGGCGAAGGGGGUGAAUUCGAGGAACUCACGCAGACCUCCUCCCAGCUCCAUCAACACAGGAGGGGUCACUGAGAUCAUGGCUGAGGGUGGAGAGCUGGAGUUUGUGAAAAGGAUCAUCCAUGACAGUCUGCAGCUCAAGAAGAGACUUAGGUGGUAUAGUUGCAUGCUGGGAAAGAAGUGUAGCCUGGCCCCUUUAAAAGAUGAGCUGCGGAAACAAGGGGUGCCCAAAGUCACACACACAGAAUUCUGUCAAGGUCGAACCAUGCGCUGGGCCCUGGCUUGGAGUUUCUAUGAUGACGUUCCUGUGCCGUCUCCCCCCUGUAAGAAGCGUAAGCUGGAGAAGGUUCGUAAACCCCUAACCUUCAUUGUGCUGAGGCCCACUGUGGUGGAGCUGCAGGUCCAGGCACCCAGCAUCGGCUGCACCGACACCAGCCCCACAGAGAGUGUCUUUUCCUGGCUGGAAAAGAUACUGACAGACCUGAAGGUGCUUCACAAGCGUGUACUUUGUGGAGAAGCAGAACUUGGCCUCUUCCUGACAGCAGUGGAGAACACCUGGAUCCACACUCGCCAGAAGAGACGAGAACAGGGCCGGCAACUCCGCGAGCUUCCUAGAGCACCACCAAGCUCCGCCUGCAACACAGACACCUCCUCUCCAUCUGUACUCAGCACAAAUGCUCCUGCAACUGAGGGCAGCACCAACCCUCCUGACAGCAACGGGAAGGAAAAAGAGAAGCAGCAAAUCCCAGAGAAAGACGCUGAUGUCCCCAUGGAAUCCCCCACCAGCCAGGUACCCACCGAAGAGAAGGAAGCGGCUGUUAGCAGUCCUCAAAAUCCAGAGACAGUCCAGAACUUUCUCUUCAAGUGCCUGGUUAAUGUGAAGGCGGAGGAGAGUGAUGUGGUGGUGGAGAUGCAUUGGGUGGAGGGGCAAAAUAAAGAUCUGAUGAACCAGCUCUGUACCUGUUUAAAGAACUCUCUCUUUCGGCAGGUAGCCAAGCCCACUUAAGGCUUAAGCUUUGCUUUCCCCUUCCAACACAGAUUUACCACAGUCCACCCAUGCUGUGAGUCAAAGAACUGGUCAAGCUGCUAAUUUGACAAAACUACACACAACCAGAUGUUUUAUUAGCCAAGGAAGUUGGAGUACAAAUGUCCUGAGUUAAGCAGGGCUUCAUAACAGGAAGGCGGCAGUAACAGUCAGUGCGGGGGACCACGAGCAGAUAAUGUGUGCAGGGAGUCACGUGAAGUUUUCUCUGUAAACAGGCUCCUACUGUAAUUGCACUGGGGCUGUGUCUAAGUUAAACCAGGACUUUAUUCAGCAUUUGCAAUGCAUGUAAGAGUCAGAUGAAGGUAUGGGGAUUGAGCAGGUUUAUGAGUGUUUGCAUGCCCCUUGCUUUGACCUUUUUACGUGAUUAAAAGUAAAUGAUGAAUGA
Myxocyprinus asiaticus (Chinese sucker) is the source of this 2051-nucleotide RNA transcript. It is a transcript of the gene named methyltransferase 16, N6-methyladenosin, with no coding region annotated. The transcript has 11 exons. The record is from RefSeq and is a predicted model, not a curated record. Lineage: Eukaryota; Metazoa; Chordata; Actinopteri; Cypriniformes; Catostomidae.